AGUGAACGCUGGCGGUAGGCCUAACACAUGCAAGUCGAACGGCAGCACAGGAGAGCUUGCUCUCUGGGUGGCGAGUGGCGGACGGGUGAGGAAUACAUCGGAAUCUACCUUUUCGUGGGGGAUAACGUAGGGAAACUUACGCUAAUACCGCAUACGACCUACGGGUGUAAGUGGGGGACCGCAAGGCCUCACGCGAUUAG
This 200-nucleotide ribosomal RNA is filed under the name uncultured bacterium. Its description in RNAcentral is "partial 16S ribosomal RNA". It matches the Rfam family "Bacterial small subunit ribosomal RNA", at positions 29 to 224 of the family's 1533-position model. The record is from RNAcentral.